Molecule: ribosomal RNA, 229 nt
Filed under: uncultured bacterium
Lineage: Bacteria
Description: partial 16S ribosomal RNA
Rfam family: Bacterial small subunit ribosomal RNA
Source: RNAcentral
UGAGUAACAUGUAUCCAACCUGCCGUCUACUCUUGGCCAGCCUUCUGAAAGGAAGAUUAAUCCAGGAUGGCAUCAUGAGUUCACAUGUCCGCAUGAUUAAAGGUAUUUUCCGGUAGACGAUGGGGAUGCGUUCCAUUAGAUAGUAGGCGGGGUAACGGCCCACCUAGUCAACGAUGGAUAGGGGUUCUGAGAGGAAGGUCCCCCACAUUGGUACUGAGACACGGACCAA